GGUUAAGCGACUAAGCGUACACGGUGGAUGCCCUGGCAGUCAGAGGCGAUGAAGGACGUGCUAAUCUGCGAAAAGCGUCGGUAAGGUGAUAUGAACCGUUACAGCCGGCGAUGUCCGAAUGGGGAAACCCAGUGUGAUUCGUCACACUAUCGUUAACUGAAUACAUAGGUUAACGAGGCGAACCGGGGGAACUGAAACAUCUAAGUACCCCGAGGAAAAGAAAUCAACCGAGAUUCCCCCAGUAGCGGCGAGCGAACGGGGAGCAGCCCAGAGUCUGAAUCAGCUUGUGUGUUAGUGGAACGGUCUGGAAAGUCCGACGGUACAGGGUGAUAGUCCCGUACACCAAAAUGCACAGGCUGUGAACUCGAAGAGUAGGGCGGGACACGUGGUAUCCUGUCUGAAUAUGGGGGGACCAUCCUCCAAGGCUAAAUACUCCUGACUGACCGAUAGUGAACCAGUACCGUGAGGGAAAGGCGAAAAGAACCCCGGCGAGGGGAGUGAAAAAGAACCUGAAACCGUGUACGUACAAGCAGUGGGAGCACCUUCGGGUGUGACUGCGUACCUUUUGUAUAAUGGGUCAGCGACUUAUAUUCUGUAGCAAGGUUAACCGUAUAGGGGAGCCGCAGGGAAACCGAGUCUUAACUGGGCGUUAAGUUGCAGGGUAUAGACCCGAAACCCGGUGAUCUAGCCAUGGGCAGGUUGAAGGUUGGGUAACACUAACUGGAGGACCGAACCGACUAAUGUUGAAAAAUUAGCGGAUGACUUGUGGCUGGGGGUGAAAGGCCAAUCAAACCGGGAGAUAGCUGGUUCUCCCCGAAAGCUAUUUAGGUAGCGCCUCGUGAAUUCAUCUUCGGGGGUAGAGCACUGUUUCGGCUAGGGGGUCAUCCCGACUUACCAACCCGAUGCAAACUACGAAUACCGAAGAAUGUUAUCACGGGAGACACACGGCGGGUGCUAACGUCCGUCGUGAAGAGGGAAACAACCCAGACCGCCAGCUAAGGUCCCAAAGUCAUGGUUAAGUGGGAAACGAUGUGGGAAGGCACAGACAGCCAGGAUGUUGGCUUAGAAGCAGCCAUCAUUUAAAGAAAGCGUAAUAGCUCACUGGUCGAGUCGGCCUGCGCGGAAGAUGUAACGGGGCUAAACCAUGCACCGAAGCUGCGGCAGCGACACUAUGUGUUGUUGGGUAGGGGAGCGUUCUGUAAGCCUGCGAAGGUGUGCUGUGAGGCAUGCUGGAGGUAUCAGAAGUGCGAAUGCUGACAUAAGUAACGAUAAAGCGGGUGAAAAGCCCGCUCGCCGGAAGACCAAGGGUUCCUGUCCAACGUUAAUCGGGGCAGGGUGAGUCGACCCCUAAGGCGAGGCCGAAAGGCGUAGUCGAUGGGAAACAGGUUAAUAUUCCUGUACUUGGUGUUACUGCGAAGGGGGGACGGAGAAGGCUAUGUUAGCCGGGCGACGGUUGUCCCGGUUUAAGCAUGUAGGCUGGUUGUCCAGGCAAAUCCGGAUAAUCAAGGCUGAGGUGUGAUGACGAGGCACUACGGUGCUGAAGUAACAAAUGCCCUGCUUCCAGGAAAAGCCUCUAAGCAUCAGGUAACAUUAAAUCGUACCCCAAACCGACACAGGUGGUCAGGUAGAGAAUACCAAGGCGCUUGAGAGAACUCGGGUGAAGGAACUAGGCAAAAUGGUGCCGUAACUUCGGGAGAAGGCACGCUGGUGUGUAGGUGAAGCCCCUGCGGGUGGAGCUGAGACCAGUCGAAGAUACCAGCUGGCUGCAACUGUUUAUUAAAAACACAGCACUGUGCAAACACGAAAGUGGACGUAUACGGUGUGACGCCUGCCCGGUGCCGGAAGGUUAAUUGAUGGGGUUAUCCGUAAGGAGAAGCUCUUGAUCGAAGCCCCGGUAAACGGCGGCCGUAACUAUAACGGUCCUAAGGUAGCGAAAUUCCUUGUCGGGUAAGUUCCGACCUGCACGAAUGGCGUAAUGAUGGCCAGGCUGUCUCCACCCGAGACUCAGUGAAAUUGAACUCGCUGUGAAGAUGCAGUGUACCCGCGGCAAGACGGAAAGACCCCGUGAACCUUUACUAUAGCUUGACACUGAACAUUGAGCCUUGAUGUGUAGGAUAGGUGGGAGGCUUUGAAGCGUGGACGCCAGUCUGCGUGGAGCCAACCUUGAAAUACCACCCUUUAAUGUUUGAUGUUCUAACGUUGGCCCCUGACCGGGGUUGCGGACAGUGUCUGGUGGGUAGUUUGACUGGGGCGGUCUCCUCCCAAAGCGUAACGGAGGAGCACGAAGGUUAGCUAAUCCUGGUCGGACAUCAGGAGGUUAGUGCAAUGGCAUAAGCUAGCUUGACUGCGAGCGUGACGGCGCGAGCAGGUGCGAAAGCAGGUCAUAGUGAUCCGGUGGUUCUGAAUGGAAGGGCCAUCGCUCAACGGAUAAAAGGUACUCCGGGGAUAACAGGCUGAUACCGCCCAAGAGUUCAUAUCGACGGCGGUGUUUGGCACCUCGAUGUCGGCUCAUCACAUCCUGGGGCUGAAGUAGGUCCCAAGGGUAUGGCUGUUCGCCAUUUAAAGUGGUACGCGAGCUGGGUUUAGAACGUCGUGAGACAGUUCGGUCCCUAUCUGCCGUGGGCGCUGGAGAAUUGAGGGGGGCUGCUCCUAGUACGAGAGGACCGGAGUGGACGCAUCACUGGUGUUCGGGUUGUCAUGCCAAUGGCACUGCCCGGUAGCUAAAUGCGGAAGAGAUAAGUGCUGAAAGCAUCUAAGCACGAAACUUGCCCCGAGAUGAGUUCUCCCUGAGACUUUAAGUCUCCUGAAGGAACGUUGAAGACGACGACGUUGAUAGGCCGGGUGUGUAAGCGCAGCGAUGCGUUGAGCUAACCGGUACUAAUGAACCGUGAGGCUUAACCUU
RNAcentral lists this ribosomal RNA (2902 nucleotides) under Klebsiella pneumoniae. RNAcentral describes it as "23S ribosomal RNA". It matches the Rfam family "Bacterial large subunit ribosomal RNA". The record is from RNAcentral. Lineage: Bacteria; Pseudomonadati; Pseudomonadota; Gammaproteobacteria; Enterobacterales; Enterobacteriaceae.